This 1310-nucleotide long non-coding RNA is filed under the name Junco hyemalis (dark-eyed junco). RNAcentral describes it as "lncRNA (ENSJHYG00000001657.1)". The record is from RNAcentral. Lineage: Eukaryota; Metazoa; Chordata; Aves; Passeriformes; Passerellidae.
GCAGUUUUAUCAUCCUCUGCCUUUGGGUGUCUGAUUAAGCAUGACUGGUUGUGAUUGGGAUUUUAAAUACUAGCAGGCUUCCCAAUUACCUCAAUUAUCUUUGCCCCAGGAAUGAUUGCUAUUUCCAGGCACACAUCCUGUUGCCCACAGUUUCUCACACAGGUUUUUCUGGCACCUUCCUUACAGUAAUAGCCCUCAGCACAGCAAACUACAGACUAAAAACUCUCCCACAGUACCUCCUGAGUACACUGCAGCACUGACACACUUGGAUGCAUCUUCUAACUCUUCUGCUUCCACUCUAUUUUAGGAAUAUUCAGAAAUUUCAUUUUUUUAAAGAUUUAUUUAAAAUUAUAGCAGUCAUGCAUAGUGUUUAGAACACAUUCUAUCCAAAAAGCAUUUCUUAGAGUUUCUUCUCUGAGUAAAUAAACCAGCAAAAGAGAAUUUAUAAAAAUUAAAAAAAAAACCCACCCAAAACUAUAACAAACUAUUUACAGUAAAACAGUUAGUGAUAUGUAAAAUUAUUUCUGUUUAGGUCCCUGUUCUAGUAGAUCUUCUGGACAUAUCUGCAGAACUAUGGUCCACGCCCCAGUGAAGAAAGUCCCGGGAAUUUCCACACUGCACAAAGUGGGUGUGGGGUUUUUACCAUGUUCUGGUACAUGGCAUGGAUUCUGUGAAGAGGUCUUUGUCCUUAGUAGGACCUGCUCUGUCUUCUUACUGUCACAGGAAGCACAUUUGUCCUUUAAAUAAUCCUUGUGCUCCUACUAACAAUUUGUCAUUUACAGAAAGGACACUCUAACAAUAGACAAGUUUAUUCCUUCCAGUUAAAGGCAAACAGCAAUUCCAGUAGCUCAAGGCACUCACCUGUUAAGUUUGGGGGGCACAUAAAUGCAUUUUAUGUUGAGAAGAAAAUUAAGGACAUUUUGGCUUUAAAGUGAUUGUUUUUACUUUGUUGCUUUGUUUUGUUUUUUUGAUGAGGUGUUUGUUUUUUUGGGUUUUGUGUGUUUUGGUUUUGUUUUGUUUUUUACUUCCCAUGUGUUACAGUCACCGCAACACAUUUGUUAAGCUUUGUUAUGUGUAGGCGUCCUUUUGAUCUCGGUAUAUUUCAGGCUUCCUUAUAGCCUAGAUAUUGUUUAAAAAAGCAUCUACCAGUGACAGUUUGUCAUAUUUCCAGUUAAUACCAGUGUCAAUAUUGUUAGUUACACAAGCUGAUUUGGUCUUUGCAUAUGCUGUGUGUCAGUUCUUUUGAGAUGUUUGACUAUCAGCAUAGCAAGCACAGCACUUACUCUGUCCAAACAUGUAACCAAAUUUAC